RNAcentral lists this transfer RNA (77 nucleotides) under Photobacterium kishitanii. Its description in RNAcentral is "tRNA-Asp". It matches the Rfam family "tRNA". Rfam says of the family: Transfer RNA (tRNA) molecules are approximately 80 nucleotides in length. Their secondary structure includes four short double-helical elements and three loops (D, anti-codon, and T loops). The record is from RNAcentral. Lineage: Bacteria; Pseudomonadati; Pseudomonadota; Gammaproteobacteria; Vibrionales; Vibrionaceae.
GGAGCGGUAGCUCAGUUGGUUAGAAUACCGGCCUGUCACGCCGGGGGUCGCGGGUUCGAGUCCCGUCCGCUCCGCCA